GGCGGCGUGCCUAAUACAUGCAAGUCGAACGAGUUCUCGUUGAUGAUCGGUGCUUGCACCGAGAUUCAACAUGGAACGAGUGGCGGACGGGUGAGUAACACGUGGGUAACCUGCCCUUAAGUGGGGGAUAACAUUUGGAAACAGAUGCUAAUACCGCAUAGAUCCAAGAACCGCAUGGUUCUUGGCUGAAAGAUGGCGUAAGCUAUCGCUUUUGGAUGGACCCGCGGCGUAUUAGCUAGUUGGUGAGGUAAUGGCUCACCAAGGCGAUGAUACGUAGCCGAACUGAGAGGUUGAUCGGCCACAUUGGGACUGAGACACGGCACAAACUCCUACGGGAGGCAGCAGUAGGGAAUCUUCCACAAUGGACGCAAGUCUGAUGGAGCAACGCCGCGUGAGUGAAGCCGGCUUUCGGGUCGUAAAACUCUGUUGUUGGAGAAGAAUGGUCGGCAGAGUAACUGUUGUCGGCGUGACGGUAUCCAACCAGAAAGCCACGGCUAACUACGUGCCAGCAGCCGCGGUAAUACGUAGGUGGCAAGCGUUAUCCGGAUUUAUUGGGCGUAAAGCGAGCGCAGGCGGUUUUUUAAGUCUGAUGUGAAAGCCCUCGGCUUAACCGAGGAAGCGCAUCGGAAACUGGGAAACUUGAGUGCAGAAGAGGACAGUGGAACUCCAUGUGUAGCGGUGAAAUGCGUAGAUAUAUGGAAGAACACCAGUGGCGAAGGCGGCUGUCUGGUCUGUAACUGACGCUGAGGCUCGAAAGCAUGGGUAGCGAACAGGAUUAGAUACCCUGGUAGUCCAUGCCGUAAACGAUGAAUGCUAGGUGUUGGAGGGUUUCCGCCCUUCAGUGCCGCAGCUAACGCAUUAAGCAUUCCGCCUGGGGAGUACGACCGCAAGGUUGAAACUCAAAGGAAUUGACGGGGGCCCGCACAAGCGGUGGAGCAUGUGGUUUAAUUCGAAGCAACGCGAAGAACCUUACCAGGUCUUGACAUCUUUUGAUCACCUGAGAGAUCAGGUUUCCCCUUCGGGGGCAAAAUGACAGGUGGUGCAUGGUUGUCGUCAGCUCGUGUCGUGAGAUGUUGGGUUAAGUCCCGCAACGAGCGCAACCCUUAUGACUAGUUGCCAGCAUUUAGUUGGGCACUCUAGUAAGACUGCCGGUGACAAACCGGAGGAAGGUGGGGAUGACGUCAAAUCAUCAUGCCCCUUAUGACCUGGGCUACACACGUGCUACAAUGGAUGGUACAACGAGUUGCGAGACCGCGAGGUCAAGCUAAUCUCUUAAAGCCAUUCUCAGUUCGGACUGUAGGCUGCAACUCGCCUACACGAAGUCGGAAUCGCUAGUAAUCGCGGAUCAGCACGCCGCGGUGAAUACGUUCCCGGGCCUUGUACACACCGCCCGUCACACCAUGAGAGUUUGUAACACCCGAAGCCGGUGGCGUAACCCUUUUAGGGAGCGAGCCGUCUAAGGUGGGACAAAUGAUUAGGGUGAAGUCGUAACAAGGACU
RNAcentral lists this ribosomal RNA (1499 nucleotides) under Lacticaseibacillus paracasei. RNAcentral describes it as "bacterial SSU rRNA". It matches the Rfam family "Bacterial small subunit ribosomal RNA". The record is from RNAcentral. Lineage: Bacteria; Bacillati; Bacillota; Bacilli; Lactobacillales; Lactobacillaceae.